Gallus gallus (chicken) is the source of this 3522-nucleotide long non-coding RNA. RefSeq lists it as uncharacterized. NCBI's taxonomy places the organism in Eukaryota, Metazoa, Chordata, Aves, Galliformes, Phasianidae. The transcript has 6 exons. The record is from RefSeq and is a predicted model, not a curated record.
AAUGUCUGUGACCAUUAAAGUUUACUAAAGUAUGCCACCUAGAGGUCUCUGAUAGAGCAAAAACAACAGUUCAGGGUCCUCAGAGAAGCGCCACAGCAGCAUCACUCUGUCUUUUGUCUCAGCUGUACGUGAUCCUAGUCAAAACUCACCUUUCUGCGUGAAGUUUUCCAGCUGGUGCUGCUUCUUUGAAUACCUGUUUGCACUGGGAGGCCACUAGAUGUGGUUCAGAGGAAGCCUGCCAAAAUUUCAGAACUCUGCAUCUUCUCCUUGAGGGCAGACCACUCUCCUAGUGGCCUCUGGAAGCCUGUAUCGAGAUCAAAACUUUGUAAUUCACUUUGCUACAUGGUGAAAUAAGACGUGUUUUUUCUCUUCCCACUCUCCAGAGUUGCUGUCCUUUACUGCCUUUUAGAGGUGAUUAUCACUCCAUUGCUGGCUUCCGGAUUCCAUCCUCCCUCUGAUCCAAGAUCUGUCCUCUCUGGUCUGAAACACUGAUAUCACAGAAGAAAUCAGUUUUUCUGGUUCAGGCUAUUCAGAACUGUUGUUCUUGAGCAAAACAGCCAAAAUAAGAAGAAAGUCUCAAUGCACAAGGAUACUGAGUUGCUCAAGCAUGUGCAAAAAAAGACCAAUGAAGCUGGUGAAGUGACUAGUAAACAAGAUUUAUGAGGAGUGGCUCAGGACACGUGGACUGCUCCACCCUGUAGUGAGAAACACGUCUUUGGUGACACGGGUCCGCAAGCAGUCUGCUUCAAAACUGCAGGUUGAUUAAAAAAGAAAAAAAAACCUACAAUGUUCACACUGCAGGAGUAUCUGUUCUUAAAACCAUUUACAAUAAAGAGGAAACAAAAUAAAAAUAUUGAGAAUGAAGUGGAAAAAUAAAGUAUGUGAUAUGGAGAAGUCAAUUUCGUUAAGAGAUCUGAAGAAAGAGAUGAGAGUAGAAAGGUGAGUAUUUAAAUAUACAAAAUCAAAGCAUAUAAAGAACUACAGAGCCAAAUAGAGGUGAUUUUAAAAAUAAAAUAAAAAUUCUGAUGAGUAAUUUAAAGAGAUUAAAGGCAGAUCUAUCACUCUUCCUGAUAGUGAUUGUUAAACCCUUCUUCUUAUCUAUCUAUCUACUUAUUUAUUUAUUUAUAAUUGAAGACUUUCUGUGGCAAUACUGUAUUCCCUUUAACCAAAUCUCUAUUCCCUUGGUUACUGAUAGAUCCUGAAACAUCAUUAAAGCUUUCUGUAACUCACAAACUUGUUUCUUACAAGUAGAGUUUCCUCACAAGAAUAGUGGUCUGAAAUUCCUAGAGGAAAUGCUUCAUAUAGUUAAAUGGGCUUUGUGUAUCAAAUAAAAUAAUUUGAGGCUCAGAAAAUCUCUCCCUUAACAAAAUUUCCUCUACUCCUACUUUAUCUGAGGUUUGAAGAAAGCAGUCAGACAAAGCAGUUUUAAACUGGUGAUGGACAAAUGAAAAAUUUUAACAUAAAAAGGAAAAGCAUUUAUUUAUGCCCCAAUGGUAGUAAGUAUUGUUAAACUAUGUUAAAGAGUAAUAAAAAUACUCUAUUGUUCCACAUCAUUUUGAGUCCAACAGUGUCAAAAUGUAUAACUGUCAUUAGUAAAAGUAUACAACAUUUCCCUUAUGUAGAAAAUCUGUGUUCUUAUUUUAGAGAUGUGGAUGAUAAAGGAGAACAGGGUAGUGUAACUGUCCCAAGUUCAAAUGCAGUAAGUCUGUGGCAAUGGCAGAAGCCAAAUAAAAAUCAAUGAAAAACAAAACAAAAAAAUGUCUGUAUUUCAACCAGAACACCAGACACUGGCUUUGUUUCCAAUGAUAAAGUAUACACAUUAUGCUAUGUGUAUCAUCUACCAAUAAUUGACAUAAAGAAAUACAAUAAGGUAGGUUAAUAUUUUUGUCAUUGUCCUCAUCAGUCUGCUCUAAUCUUGUCUGCAACAGAACGUGUAAAGAAAAGAGAAGAUGGAUGGGUGUCUUACUUUCAUUAUACCCAUUUUUUGAUUUUAAAUUUCUUUAAAAUCUGAGGUAAAAGUGCUGGAUAGUAAAUCCCAACCAGAAAGAUUUUAUCAGGUCUCUGUAUAACAAGCACUGUCUUACAAUCUUAAAAUGUCACAGCUGCAUAAACUUUUUCCGUAUUCCUGUUCUCUAAAUCCUUUGUAAACCCGUUAGGAUUUUCAAAAGAAUUUAUUUCUUGAAACCACUGCAUAGAGAAGGUAUAACCAAUUUCUUCAUUUCCAGGGUGUUGUAAACUGAGGUAAUUUCUGGAGUGAACUUUUAUGAAAAAUGUGUUAAAGUGUGGAAUUUACAUAAUAAUUUACUAGAGAUAAAAAAUGCCCAAAUAUACAGUUGUGUUACUUUAAAUUUUUAAAGUACACUAAAGAAUGUAACAGCUGACUGGCUUUAAAUCUUAAUGGAAACAACAUUUCUGGAUGCUUAGAGCCUUCACUGUUCCAUUUCAGCUAAAUACAGGAUUACUUGAGCUGUAUUAUAUCCUCCAUCGGAUUUUCAGCCCUAAUGCACUAAUUAUGCAGCCUGGAAGCUUAUAGAGACUUAUAUUGAGGUUCAGAUAGAUAUAAGAAGGUAGUCUAUAUUCUUGUCUGAAUUAGUUUUUCAAGCAUUGUUUGUGUCUAUAAAAAUGAGUAAGUGUGAUGCUGAAGGCAGCUCCUUAAAAGGGGUUCACCAAUGCCUUCACUAACCUGGGCAGGGAUAUAAUUGCACAGAAACAGACAGUUUAUCUAACUGGGAUAUAUAUUUUCAAACAGGAAGGUAUCAGACAGAGCUAACAAAAGGCAUUUUAAACUUCCUAAAAGGAAAGGUACAAAAGCUAUGACUCUUUUAUUUUAUACCCAUGUGAAUAAUACUACUGUCUAUCCAAUUAUUAAAUAGCCAGUUAUCAUUCACCUGUUUCUGGAUCUUCAUAUGAUUGAAGACAACCGAUCAAUAAUAUUUUAGGAAAAACAUGAAUCACCAAAAGACAUACAAUGAACACAAAAUUUGUAUUUUAAUCCCCAAAAUUUCUAGUCUGAAUAAACCAAGUGAGUAGUGAGUGAAUAACUCCAGCACUCAUGAUUUUUUUUAAACAAGGUAUUAAAUCUAUUAACGUAAAAUUCAUUUAAACUGUAUUGCUACAACUUUUUUAGAAAUGUUUAUUUACCAUUUAAUUUUUAUUCAUUUUUCAAAUGUCAAUUUGCACUUUUUCUUUAUUCUCCUAUGAUGUAUGAUUUAAUUAAAUGAGCAACUCUUUUUAUCUAUUUUGUGGCUUCCAUUACAGUAGCACACAAGUGCCUCUCUGUGCAGAGUUCAUCCAUGCAAACAAACAAUAUUCAUUCAAUUCAGUUUUGAAAUUGAUACAUGUGGAAACAGAUUCAUCUGCAGUGUGGUACCAGAAGCCCUCAGGUCCUGGCUUAUGUGCCUCAAUCACAGAAUAACAGAAUCACAGAAUGGCCUGGGUUGGAAGGAACCUCAAGGAUCAUGACUCUCCAACUCCCCUGCCACAGGCAGGGCCACUACCCUCCCCAUUUAAUACCAGACAAGG